Long non-coding RNA from Colius striatus (speckled mousebird), 785 nucleotides. RefSeq lists it as uncharacterized. The record is from RefSeq and is a predicted model, not a curated record. The transcript has 2 exons. NCBI's taxonomy places the organism in Eukaryota, Metazoa, Chordata, Aves, Coliiformes, Coliidae.
UGGGAAGACUCGGUUAGUUUAAUUAAUAAACGCCCAGGGCAUGGUCGGGGUUGGUGUAACACUGUGUGAGGCUGGAAGGUGUUUCAGGGGUUCUAAAAGAGAGUUCACCGUGCCCAACUUCACAGCAGCCCCGGGGGGAACCGUUGUGUCUCAGCUUCAGGGGUGCAGAGCCAGGGAAAGAAACGAGGUGCUACGGUGGAGUUAAAGAAAACAUCUAAAAUCAAGGGCCUAAAGAGGAAAAAACAAACCCAAACUCACCCCAAAAACAGGUUUGCCAGUUUUUUCUCUCUUAAAAAUAGAGACAAAUGUGGACUUGGAGAAUGGCUUUUGGAGACUGUGAUCUGGGUGAGUCUGUGAAAGGAGAUGUUGCUUCAGAAAAAGUAAUGAACCUGUAGCAAAAACAACUUUCAUGAUUUCUCCUGACUGGUUUUUAGCAGUCAUGUUUCUUGUUUCAGGCCCAGCUCCCUUCCUGCAAGACUUGGAGAGGGGAAAGUGAACAGUUGCACACUUUCUGUCUAGCGACAGUCUGUGCACGAGGAAACAGCCAGACCUGUGAGGUUUUACCCUUUUUGAAGGCAGUGAAGAGCAUUCCCUGAUUUCAACUGAAUGGCUUGAGCAGAUUUGCAAGAAAAACCAUGGGAAUGGAACCAGAACAGGAAGAAUCAGUCAAAACCUCUCAAGGAGAAUUAAAAACGUGUCAGUCACUGGGACCUAUACACCCUGGGAUCCUUCUGUAGCAGAAGGAGGUUUGGCAGAACAUGGCACUUACAGCAAUCUGUAUCAGA